RNAcentral lists this ribosomal RNA (104 nucleotides) under Piliocolobus tephrosceles (Ugandan red Colobus). The record is from RNAcentral. Lineage: Eukaryota; Metazoa; Chordata; Mammalia; Primates; Cercopithecidae.
UGUGCAUAUCACCCUGAAUGUGCCUGAUCUUGUCUGAUCUCAGAGGCUAAGCAGGGUUGGGCCCGGUUAGUACUUAGAUGACAGAGGAAAGGCAGACAAAAUAU